AGAGUUUGAUCAUGGCUCAGGACGAACGCUGGCGGCGUGCUUAACACAUGCAAGUCGAGCGGAAAGGCCCUUCGGGGUACUCGAGCGGCGAACGGGUGAGUAACACGUGAGCAACCUGCCCCUAACACCGGGAUAGCUCCGGGAAACCGGAAUUAAUACCGGAUAUGACCACGGCGGACAUCCGCUGUGGUGGAAAGGUU
Molecule: ribosomal RNA, 200 nt
Filed under: uncultured bacterium
Lineage: Bacteria
Description: partial 16S ribosomal RNA
Rfam family: Bacterial small subunit ribosomal RNA
Source: RNAcentral